This 413-nucleotide ribosomal RNA is filed under the name uncultured bacterium. Its description in RNAcentral is "bacterial SSU rRNA". It matches the Rfam family "Bacterial small subunit ribosomal RNA", at positions 39 to 453 of the family's 1533-position model. The record is from RNAcentral.
GCGGGAGGCCUAACACAUGCAAGCCGAACGGUAUUUAUUCUUCGGAAUAGAGAGAGCGGCGUACGGGUGCGGAACACGUGUGCAACCUGCCUUUAUCAGGGGGAUAGCCUUUCGAAAGGAAGAUUAAUACCCCAUAAUAUAUUGAAUGGCAUCAUUUGAUAUUGAAAACUCCGGUGGAUAGAGAUGGGCACGCGCAAGAUUAGAUAGUUGGUAGGGUAACGGCCUACCAAGUCAGUGAUCUUUAGGGGGCCUGAGAGGGUGAUCCCCCACACUGGUACUGAGACACGGACCAGACUCCUACGGGAGGCAGCAGUGAGGAAUAUUGGACAAUGGGUGAGAGCCUGAUCCAGCCAUCCCGCGUGAAGGACGACGGCCCUAUGGGUUGUAAACUUCUUUUGUAUAGGGAUAAACCU